UUUCCGUAGGUGAACCUGCGGAAGGAUCAUUACUGAGUGAGGGCCCUCUGGGUCCAACCUCCCACCCGUGUUUAUUAUACCUUGUUGCUUCGGUGAGCCCGCCUCACGGCCGCCGGGGGGCAUCUGCCCCCGGGCCCGCGCCCACCGAAGACACCUAGAACUCUGUAUGAAGAUUGCAGUCUGAGCAAAAACUGAAUAAGUUAAAACUUUCAACAACGGAUCUCUUGGUUCCG
Molecule: unclassified non-coding RNA, 233 nt
Filed under: plant metagenome
Description: partial contains small subunit ribosomal RNA, internal transcribed spacer 1, and 5.8S ribosomal RNA
Source: RNAcentral